UGGGGAAUAUUGGACAAUGGGCGCAAGCCUGAUCCAGCCAUGCCGCGUGAGUGAUGAAGGCCCUAGGGUUGUAAAGCUCUUUCACCGGUGAAGAUAAUGACGGUAACCGGAGAAGAAGCCCCGGCUAACUUCGUGCCAGCAGCCGCGGUAAUACGUAGGGGGCUAGCGUUAUCCGGAUUUACUGGGCGUAAAGGGUGCGUAGGUGGUCUUUCAAGUCGGUGGUUAAAGGCUACGGCUCAACCGUAGUUAGCCUCCGAAACUGGAAGACUUGAGUGCAGGAGAGGAAAGUGGAAUUCCCAGGGUAGCGGUGAAAUGCGUAGAUAUUGGGAGGAAAACCAGGAGCGAAGGCGGCUUUGUGGACUGCAACUGACACUGAGGCACGAAAGCGUGGGUAGCAAACAGG
This 403-nucleotide ribosomal RNA is filed under the name Verrucomicrobiota bacterium. RNAcentral's name for it is "Verrucomicrobia bacterium partial 16S ribosomal RNA". It matches the Rfam family "Bacterial small subunit ribosomal RNA", at positions 355 to 776 of the family's 1533-position model. The record is from RNAcentral. Lineage: Bacteria; Pseudomonadati; Verrucomicrobiota.